GUUUUUCCAAAACUCUUGGCUUUCCCCAAAAAUUCUUGAAUUUCUCCAAAAUCUUUGAGGACCUCCAAAAAUUCUUGAGUUUCUCCAAAAUUUUUUGGAGUCUUUCCAAAAUUUUUGAGUUUCUCCACCUCUCUCGAGGUUCUCCAACCUCGACCUUCACCGUAAGCUCCGCCCCCACCACCGCCACCGCCCCAGCUGACACCCCCAAGCCCCGCCCACCCGUCGUCUCCGUCUUCCAAUCCUGCUCCGCCUCCCACCCGGAGGUGGAGCUCCUCUGCCUGGUCACCGACCUGGCCCCGCCCACCGUCGUCAUCGAUUGGCUGAAGGACGAACUCCCCGUGGAGGGAGGCCACGCCCACACCGAGGAGGCCACGCCCGGCCACGCCCCCGGCACCUUCCGGGUGGUGUCGCGCCUCAAAAUCUCGGCGGCCGAUUGGUGGGACGGGAGCUUCUCCUGCCGCGUCACGCACGCCGCUUCCGGAAGCGUCCGCGAGGCCGUGGCCGGGAGGUGCUCGG
Molecule: non-coding RNA, 516 nt
Organism: Pyrgilauda ruficollis (rufous-necked snowfinch)
Lineage: Eukaryota; Metazoa; Chordata; Aves; Passeriformes; Passeridae
Source: the annotation of a RefSeq genome assembly